AUGGCGAGCUGCUUCUGCGGCACGAGCGCGGGGCGGCGGGGCCAGUUCGUGAAGCUGGUGUUCCCCGGCGGGCACGUGGAGCUGCUGGACCGGCCGGUGCUGGCGGCGGAGGUGAUGUCGCAGCACCCGCGGUUCUGCGUGGCGCGUCCCGACGUGUUCCGCGAGCCCGUCGGCGCGGUGGCCGCGCCCAACACCAUGCUCCACCUCGGGCACAAGUACUACGUCGUGCCCAAGAGCACCGUCCGGAGGCUGCUCAAGUACUCCUCCUCCCACAGCGCCAGCGGCGGGCGCGGCAGCGUGUCGCUGAGGCGGCACCUGGCCAGGCCCGACGGCCAUGACAGGGGCCACAAGGACGGCGGCAAGAAGUGGUUCGGCUGGGCCGUGGGCGGCGAAGCCAGGGCGCCCCAGAGGCCUCCCCAGGAGGUGGGCGUCAGUCAUGGCAGUGAAGAAGAAGCGGCCACGAUGGUACGUGUGAAAGACACCAAGGAGAAGGUGAGGGGUGCCAAAGGGGAGUCGCCGGGACGGCGGCGGCGGCGGCCGGUUGCUUCGCCGGCUGACUCGGCGUCCUAUUCCUGGCAGCCUAGCCUUCACAGCAUAACUGAAGAAUAA
RNAcentral lists this ribosomal RNA (609 nucleotides) under Triticum aestivum (bread wheat). Its description in RNAcentral is "partial small subunit ribosomal RNA". The record is from RNAcentral. Lineage: Eukaryota; Viridiplantae; Streptophyta; Magnoliopsida; Poales; Poaceae.